Molecule: ribosomal RNA, 253 nt
Filed under: uncultured Paracoccaceae bacterium
Lineage: Bacteria; Pseudomonadati; Pseudomonadota; Alphaproteobacteria; Rhodobacterales; Paracoccaceae
Description: uncultured Rhodobacteraceae bacterium partial 16S ribosomal RNA
Rfam family: Bacterial small subunit ribosomal RNA
Source: RNAcentral
UACAGAGGGUGCAAACGUUGUUCGGAAUUACUGGGCGUAAAGCGCACGUAGGCGGACCAGAAAGUUGGAGGUGAAAUCCCAGGGCUCAACCUUGGAACUGCCUUCAAAACUCCUGGUCUUGAGUUCGAGAGAGGUGAGUGGAAUUCCGAGUGUAGAGGUGAAAUUCGUAGAUAUUCGGAGGAACACCAGUGGCGAAGGCGGUUCACUGGCUCGAUACUGACGCUGAGGUGCGAAAGCGUGGGGAGCAAACAGG